UACGGAAGGCAGCAGGGGGAAUAUUGCACAAUGGGCGAAAGCCUGAUGCAGCUAUGCCGCGUGUAUGAAGAAGGCCUUAGGGUUGUAAAGUACUUUCAUCGGGGAGGAAAAACAAAACUAAUAAUUUUAUUUCUUGACGUUACCCGAAAAAGAAGCACCGGCUAACUCCGUGCCAGCAGCCGCGGUAAUACGGAGGGUGCUAGCGUUAAUCAGAAUUACUGGGCGUAAAGAGCACGUAGGUGGUUUUUUUAAGUCAGAUGUGAAAUCCCUGGGCUUAACCUAGGAACUGCAUUUUGAAACUGAAAUACUAGAGUAUCGUAGAGGGAGGUAGAAUUCUAGGUGUAGCGGUGAAAUGCGUAGAUAUCUGGAGGAAUACCUGUGGCGAAAGCGGCCUCCUAAACGAAUACUGACACUGAGGGUGCGAAAGCGUGGGGAGCAAACAGGGAUUAGAUACC
Molecule: ribosomal RNA, 455 nt
Filed under: uncultured bacterium
Lineage: Bacteria
Description: bacterial SSU rRNA
Rfam family: Bacterial small subunit ribosomal RNA
Source: RNAcentral